RNA transcript from Carya illinoinensis, 1096 nucleotides. It is a transcript of the gene named protein ORANGE-GREEN, chloroplastic-like, with no coding region annotated. The transcript is spliced from 9 exons. NCBI's taxonomy places the organism in Eukaryota, Viridiplantae, Streptophyta, Magnoliopsida, Fagales, Juglandaceae. The record is from RefSeq and is a predicted model, not a curated record.
CCCCCCCCCCCCUCUCUCUCUCUCUCUCUCUCUCGGUUUAUUCCUCUUCACCGCCGCACCCUCGCCUCUUCUCGUAAAAUGACAAAACAAAAAUAUACCCCAAUAUUCUAACUCCCCAGUCCAGUGCACUCCAUUACCGAAGCUUGGGCAUAGAACAAAUUGGUUUGGGCAAAAUAUAUCCCCAGUCCAGUGCACUCCAGUCCGGAUUCUGUAUAAUAGAAGGGCCAGAAACAGAGCAAGACUUUGUUGCAAUGGAAUUGCAGGCGAUCCAAGAUUGUAUUCAGUCUUCGGAACAAAAUUUUCUUGCAUAUGGAGGAGUUGAGGUAUAAACGGAAGCCAGGAACCUACUAAGGUAAGCAAGUCUGUAUUUAUUAAGUGGAAUUUUACUUGUUACAGAAUAGACCAGAUGAACUUGGCAUGGUACUAAAAUAGUGUUGUGCAGAAAUUAAUUACAGUUGAGAGAGAAAAACAUUAUCAUUACAAGGCAAAAUGGGUGAGAGUAGUAUAGAGAGAUACAUACCAUAACUCUUCAAACUUUGAUGGAAGAAGGGAAAGGCGCGUGGUGCUAUGUCAUGGGUGAAGUUCAUUGGCAUAGAUGUGGCUUCAUUUAUCACCUGAGAGCUCUCCUUCAAGUCUCCAAACAAAAUCCGGUUCGAAGGCUGAGAAUACAACAGAGGAUUAAAAGUGCAGAACUUGGGAUUUUAAAGGAAGCACAAGAGAAUGAACUUCCUAAUUUUCCAUCAUUCAUUCCAUUUUUGCCUCCUUUGGUGCGCUUUUUCGCAUAGGAGGAAGGAGAAUAUUACUCCGAUUGGCUCAAAGAUCUCGAAACACACUAAAGUGGAAGAUGCAAACCUAAAAGGGCCUCGAAGACCUCCAAAACAGAAUUGAUAUCCUACGAAAGCUGGCAGAAUAUGGACAGCUGCUCUUGACACACACAGUCUUGAAGAUGACCUGGAUUCUGGGAAACUUUAUAACAUUAUCCCCCUGACUAAUCAUAGCGUUGAGGCUGAUAUUACACGUGGAUCGUUACGUUCUCAGACUCUGCCGAAGCAGGAGGCAUCCACUGCAUCGUCAAAACGCACUAAACUCAAAGCAG